This 794-nucleotide ribosomal RNA is filed under the name uncultured bacterium. RNAcentral describes it as "bacterial SSU rRNA". It matches the Rfam family "Bacterial small subunit ribosomal RNA", at positions 8 to 796 of the family's 1533-position model. The record is from RNAcentral.
AGAGUUUGAUCCUGGCUCAGGAUGAACGCUAGCGGCAGGCUUAAUACAUGCAAGUCGAGGGGUAACACGGGUAGCAAUACCUGGUGACGACCGGCAAACGGGUGCGGAACACGUACAGAACCUUCCUUUAAGCGGGGGAUAGCCCGGAGAAAUCCGGAUUAAUACCCCAUAGUAUUGUUGGGUGGCAUCAUUUGACAAUUAAAGAUUUAUCACUUAAAGAUGGCUGUGCGGCUGAUUAGGUAGUUGGUAGGGGUAACGGCCCACCAAGCCUUCGAUCAGUAACUGGUGUGAGAGCACGACCAGUCACACGGGCACUGAGACACGGGCCCGACUCCUACGGGAGGCAGCAGUAAGGAAUAUUGGUCAAUGGAGGCAACUCUGAACCAGCCAUGCCGCGUGAAGGAUGAAGGUCCUCUGGAUUGUAAACUUCUUUUAUGUGGGAAGAAAUGCCUGUUUUUUAAUGGGUUUGACGGUACCAUAGGAAUAAGCACCGGCUAACUCCGUGCCAGCAGCCGCGGUAAUACGGAGGGUGCGAGCGUUAUCCGGAUUCACUGGGUUUAAAGGGUGCGUAGGUGGGAAUGUAAGUCAGCGGUGAAAUCUCCGUGCUUAACACGGAAACUGCCAUUGAUACUAUGUUUCUUGAAUUUUCUGGAGGUCAGCGGAAUAUGUCAUGUAGCGGUGAAAUGCUUAGAUAUGACAUAGAACACCAAUUGCGAAGGCAGCUGGCUACAGAGACAUUGACACUGAGGCACGAAAGCGUGGGGAUCAAACAGGAUUAGAUACCCUGGUAGUCC